AACUCCAAAAAGAUGGUCGCUCGUCACCGUUGGUGAUGGGAGGAAAGUCCGGACUCCACAGGGUAACGUAGCGGGUAACGCCCGUCUCCGCUAAGAAACAUGGCGGACGGAUUAGAGCCACAGAGACUAAUGCCGGGGAAUGCCGCGUAGUGAUAUGCGGUAGGCCGGAGUGAAAAGAGGUAAUCUCUACGUGGAGAAAGACCAAAUAGGAGAUGAUUCCUGCACAGUAUGCGGGAGGGAAGCGACCCGUUUCCUUUUUAAAUCUCGGGUGGGUCGUUAGCGGUGUAAGGUAACUUGCAUCCACAAGAUAAAUGACCAUCCUUGCCUGCCAAUAGGCAGGCUCGACAGAAUCCGGCUUAUUUUUGGAGUUUAUU
RNAcentral lists this RNase P RNA (374 nucleotides) under Candidatus Omnitrophota bacterium. RNAcentral's name for it is "Candidatus Omnitrophica bacterium RNase P RNA component class A". It matches the Rfam family "Bacterial RNase P class A". From Rfam's summary of the family: Ribonuclease P (RNase P) is a ubiquitous endoribonuclease, found in archaea, bacteria and eukarya as well as chloroplasts and mitochondria. Its best characterised activity is the generation of mature 5'-ends of tRNAs by cleaving the 5'-leader elements of precursor-tRNAs. The record is from RNAcentral. Lineage: Bacteria; Pseudomonadati; Candidatus Omnitrophota.